AAACAACAGUGCCACCUUAACAAUCUCCUUCGGUUUUCUUUCAUUGACAAUAAGAAGUAAAAAACCAAAACCUCAUUCAUUAAGUGUCACGUUUAGCAAUGAGGAAGAAAUUAGUUCGGAAAAUCAAAAAGUGGCUUUCGUGUUCUGAAUGCAGCACCAGUUCUCCAAAUCACCAAACUUGUGUGGACGUGCGUGAAGAAUAUGCCAAUGCAUUUCGUACAGAGUCAUACACUGAG
Non-coding RNA from Cajanus cajan (pigeon pea), 236 nucleotides. Lineage: Eukaryota; Viridiplantae; Streptophyta; Magnoliopsida; Fabales; Fabaceae. The record is from RefSeq and is a predicted model, not a curated record.